Molecule: long non-coding RNA, 1176 nt
Filed under: Pogona vitticeps (central bearded dragon)
Lineage: Eukaryota; Metazoa; Chordata; Lepidosauria; Squamata; Agamidae
Description: lncRNA (ENSPVIG00000009672.1)
Source: RNAcentral
UUUUGAGGUUUGAGGUGCCUAACUUGAUUUUCUGUACCCAGUUCAAACUUGACAAGGAAGUUCGUCGCAUCACAAGCUUCCAUGUAAAUAAGCCCAACUGUGCCUUUGUUCUUUUCAGAUAAGAGUGAAGACUGAAUGAAAUCUCCAAGCCACAAAGAUUGUCCUCUAGGGUGACAGAGAAGGAACUUGUAGUAUGCCUCCUUGUUACAGUGCUGGUCACAUGCUGAAUUUCUGCAAUAAAUUUGUUUGUAUUGUAGUUAACAAUACCUAAUUUGGAGUCAUUGUUCAGCUUCUGGUUCACCAAGGUAAGCAAGCUGAUAGCCAGGAGAGUUGGAUCUGUUGUAGCUUAGUCAAAGCUGACAGGAAUUGCGGAACCUCAGCAGUGGUCCUAUCACAACCUCUUCCACAGCGACCAGGAGACUGAUUCAAAACAAUGGCAUGCUUGUUAUAGGUCCUAAUUAGUAGAUGGAACCACCUGUUUCUGACUCAUUCCAAGCCAAACAAGGUACUUCCUGGAGUCCUUCGUUUAGGAAGAAUGGAAGAAUGUGACUCAGAAGUUGGAGAGAAAAUCAGACACUUACCAGCAGAAAACCUCGCAGCGCAUAAGCCUUUUCAGAGUUUCCAUGGUUUCAACAAGGCUUACUUCGAGCAAUCUGCCAUUGUUGGCACUUCAGCUGGUCAGAAGAACAGAACCUGGAAGAACCUGUUCAAAAAAUCACAUCAGAAAGGACAUUGCCAUGGCAACUAAAAUAUCUAAGCUCUCCAAAUUCCAAAACGUGGCUCCAAAUGCAGGAAAAGAAACCUGAAUUCUCAUUUAAUUCAGUAAUGCUCUAAUGCAGUGGUCCCCAGCCUUGGGCCUCCAGAUGUUCUUGGACUUCAAUUCCCAGAAAUCCUGGCCAGCAGAGGUGGUGGUGAAGGUUUCUGGGAGUUGUAAACAUCAAGCAUUAGAGCUUAAAGAAGAAUAUUAAAACAAUACUAAAGAAAUAAUAGAGGCAAAAUAUAAUUUUAUAAAAUUCUGAAUAAUUUAUCUCGUAGAACAUAAAUCUGCAUUAUUAGCCUCAAUUGACUAUGAUCCAGAACUGUGGACUGAAACCAAAGACCAGGAAGCAUGCAAGAAGACCACUCCUGUAGUUAAAAUGAAAUAAAAGCUUUUAUGCUAAUGAAACUCUUUAAACU